This is a long non-coding RNA of Anguilla anguilla (European eel), 901 nucleotides long. RefSeq lists it as uncharacterized. The record is from RefSeq and is a predicted model, not a curated record. Lineage: Eukaryota; Metazoa; Chordata; Actinopteri; Anguilliformes; Anguillidae. The transcript is spliced from 2 exons.
UGUAAAAAAAAGUGUCUAUGUAAUCUUCUGUCAGUCAAAGUGAAAUCAACUUUGCCAUCUUUAAAGUGUACGAUCUAAAAACCAUUCAAUUUAGCUGCUUUAAAUCUAUAAUCAAAGAGGAUAAAGAAGAAUGGGUCACCAAAAGCUCCUGAUACUUUACUGGAUUUUAGCCGUUUAUAUGAUCCUCCUGAUGUUUUUGAAGCUUUUUAUUUCAACAAAAUAUCUACAGGACAUGUUGCAAAAACUUCUGUCAGGAUUUACCAUGUACCGUACAUAUUUGAAAGCAUAUGUGUGUUUUGUUGUUUCUGCCAAAGGUUAGUGUAAGUCACAGGUGUAAAACUCCAGUCCUGGAGGGCCGCAGUGUUUUCUGGUUUUUGGGGUGCUCAAAAGUGUUACAUUUAAGUCAUUGACUGGCUAAGGAAUCCACACACCUGCGGCCCACAGACACUGCAGCCUCCUUGGGAUUCAGUUUGACACCCCUGAUGUACAUGCUGGAGGCGCAUUAAUGAGCUUUAUAAAUUGGUUUUAUUUCCGAGGCUAUUAUGCACUUGGUUGUUUUAUAUUUUCUGGAAUUAAAAUGUUUGGUAUUACGAUUAGAAGCAGCGCUUAGCAGUUUAAGCAGUUUUUCUCAAAAUAUCUCCUAUGUGAGUAACUCUUAGAGGCCAGGUUGCCAUUGAUUUGAAAUUUUCUAGAAGUCUCAUAUGUGUUGAUUACAAGAUUAGAAACGUUAGAAUGAGCCCAUUGAUUUAAAUAACGCUUUAAAUUUGGUCUAACAGAGAAUUAUUGGUUCUGUCCUUUACACUAUAAAUAACUUUAAAUUAAGGUGCUUGAAGAGGAAGUGACUCAGCUUCAUGAAUCUCAUUCCGGACACAUCUGACAAAAAGCAAAAAAAAAAAAAAAA